RNAcentral lists this long non-coding RNA (218 nucleotides) under Oryctolagus cuniculus (rabbit). Its description in RNAcentral is "lncRNA (ENSOCUG00000031412.1)". The record is from RNAcentral. Lineage: Eukaryota; Metazoa; Chordata; Mammalia; Lagomorpha; Leporidae.
UUUCCUCAUAAGGUGGAAAAUGGCGUGGAACACUCUUAGCCAUGAUUCUCCGGUACACAGGUGAUUAUGAGUCAGCCUUGGCACUGCGGAACUCCACUUCAGGAAUGGAACCUGGUUUGAACUUUGGUGCUGGGAAGAGAGGAGAGAAAUUUUCCCUGAAAAUCUGUAUCUCAAAACUGGAUCUCAGUCUGAGGUGGAGGUUAAACCUGGAGCAGUGA